RNAcentral lists this ribosomal RNA (253 nucleotides) under uncultured bacterium. RNAcentral describes it as "partial 16S ribosomal RNA". It matches the Rfam family "Bacterial small subunit ribosomal RNA", at positions 524 to 776 of the family's 1533-position model. The record is from RNAcentral.
UACGUAGGUGGCAAGCGUUGUCCGGAAUUAUUGGGCGUAAAGCGCGCGCAGGCGGUUUCUUAAGUCUGAUGUGAAAGCCCACGGCUCAACCGUGGAGGGUCAUUGGAAACUGGGAAACUUGAGUGCAGAAGAGAAAAGCGGAAUUCCACGUGUAGCGGUGAAAUGCGUAGAGAUGUGGAGGAACACCAGUGGCGAAGGCGGCUUUUUGGUCUGUAACUGACGCUGAGGCGCGAAAGCGUGAGGAGCAAACAGG